Non-coding RNA from Brassica napus (rape), 121 nucleotides. Lineage: Eukaryota; Viridiplantae; Streptophyta; Magnoliopsida; Brassicales; Brassicaceae. The record is from Rfam.
GGAAGUUAAGAAAUUGUUUAUUAACUUUUAACUAAAAAAACUAAGAACCGGUUCUUAAAUAAAGACUUUAAAAGCCGGUUCUUAGCUUUUUUAGUUAAAAGUUAACAGUUUCUUAACUUCC